Molecule: long non-coding RNA, 1693 nt
Organism: Dreissena polymorpha
Lineage: Eukaryota; Metazoa; Mollusca; Bivalvia; Myida; Dreissenidae
Exons: 3
Source: RefSeq, a predicted model, not a curated record
UGGAUACAGCAAAGGUGGGCGUGUUCGUGCUCAACAGACGAAAAAAAUUGGGAUGCCCAGCAAAAGUGCUGAUCAAAGAAUGAAUUAUGCUUCCUGCCAGUCAUCCCAUACAGGAUAACACUAAGGCAGCACUGGCAGCAUCUCUGAUUGACCUUGCUGCGACAGGAGUAUAUUCAUGCCGCUACUUCAUGUGUCUACCAGACCUGGAAAAGCACAAGUAUCACGAAACAGGCAUUUCUUCAGGCCUGAGCCAAAAUAUUGACCGGGGACUUGUUAAUAAGAUAUCAGAAUUGGUUGACGAAGGACUGUCAAACACAGACGAAAUGGAGCGGCGCCUUUGAGGUCAUGUUCUGAAAAUAGAAAAUAUUACCCCAGCACCAACAAGCAAGAGGUUUUUUCCAAAUCGUACCACAAUUCGGAACCACAUGCGAAAGGCAGAGAACAUAAAACAUACAAGCAUAGACGAUGAAACAAAUCUCGAAGGCUUUGUAAGUGUAGGAUUCUGUUACUGACUGUGAAAUCAACAUUGUCUAGUGGACCUCUACUAAUGAUGCUCCAAGGGUAAAAAUAAGCCCCGUCCUGGGAGCAAAUGUAUUUUUCCAAUAUGUAAAUUGCAAAUAUUUAAAAAUUCUCCAUAGCCCAAAGGCUUAAGCAUGUAUAUUUGGUAUAAAACACUGUCCAGUAGACAUUUACAAUGUUUCUUUAAAUAAUGCCUCAGUUUUAAAAUAUACCCUGCCAUGAGACCAAUGUGUGUUCCUUAAAUGUAUAUAGUAAACAAAAAAAACAUCUUUCUUUCUUUUCCGAAAUUUGCAUUGUUAGCGACCCAUGUCCCCUGACCUCUUGUUAAAGUACUGAAUUCUUUUCUUCUGCACCAUUAAAACUACAGCGAACCAAUGGUGGAUGAAGAUUGUGAAUACCCAUUGCGAUGCAGUAGUUACAAAUGUUCAAUCACUUUGAGCGAUGCAUGGCUUUUGGCAAAUAAAUGAUGAACGACACUCAGCAAUGAAAACAACACUUUUGUGUGUGUUCAGUUUGAAUUUCACUGAAUGUUGACGUGAUUAAUAAGCAGAUUUGCACUUCAUUACAACCAGCCUAAGGUAAUUGUGGCUGCUGUUAUGUAAAUGCAAGUCUGUUGUAAUCGUCAUUUUGUAAUCGUACAUGUAUUGUGUAUUUGAUCUGUUGAAACAACUAUAUAGAUGGAAACAAGGCAAUGCUGGAGAUGUUGUUUUCAUGUUAAAAAAAGGAGAAAAGGAGGUAUUUUUGAUGUGUUAACAAUGCAGUUUAUAGUUUUGUCUUUGAAUUCAAUGUUACUUGUUGAUUUACACACUGCUAAAUUGUUGAAAUAAAAUGCAAGGAGGAUAAUCAAAGGAGGAGGAUGCAAGGAGGAUAAUAACAGGGGGAGGAUGAAUGGAGGAUAAUCACAGGAUGAGGAUAAUCACAGGAGGAGGAUAAUCACAGGAGGAGGAUAAUCACAGGAGGAGGAUGCAAGGAGGGUUAUCACAGGAGGAGGAUGCAAGGAGGAUAAUCACAGGAGGAGGAUAAUCACAGAAGGAGGAUGCAAUAAUGAUAAUCACAGGAGGAGGAUGCAAAGAGGAUAAUCACAGGAGAUGGAUAAUCACGGGAGGAGGAUGCAAGGAGGAUAAUCAUAGGAUGAGGAUAAUCACAGGAGGAGGAUGCAAGGAGGAUAAUCACA